UACGAAGGGUGCAAGCGUUAUUCGGAAUGACUGGGCGUAAAGCGCGUGAAGGCGGUUUAUUAAGUCAACUGUGAAAUUGCUCGGCUUAACUGAGCGUGUGCAGAUGAAACUGGUGAACUAGAGUGCAGGAGAGAAGAGUGGAAUUCUCGGAGUAGCGGUAAAAUGCGUAGAUCUCGAGAGGAACACCGGUUGCGAAGGCGGCUCUUUGGCCUGUAACUGACGCUAAAGCGCGAAAGCGUGGGGAGCAAACAGG
RNAcentral lists this ribosomal RNA (253 nucleotides) under uncultured bacterium. RNAcentral's name for it is "partial 16S ribosomal RNA". It matches the Rfam family "Bacterial small subunit ribosomal RNA", at positions 524 to 776 of the family's 1533-position model. The record is from RNAcentral.